UGUGAAAUCCCCGGGCUCAACCUGGGAACUGCAUUCGAAACUGGCAGGCUAGAGUCUUGUAGAGGGGGGUAGAAUUCCAGGUGUAGCGGUGAAAUGCGUAGAGAUCUGGAGGAAUACCGGUGGCGAAGGCGGCCCCCUGGACAAAGACUGACGCUCAGGUGCGAAAGCGUGGGGAGCAAACAGGAUUAGAUACCCUGGUAGUCCACGCCGUAAACGAUGUCGAUUUGGAGGUUGUGCCCUUGAGGCGUGGCUUCCGGAGCUAACGCGUUAAAUCGACCGCCUGGGGAGUACGGCCGCAAGGUUAAAACUCAAAUGAAUUGACGGGGGCCCGCACAAGCGGUGGAGCAUGUGGUUUAAUUCGAUGCAACGCGAAGAACCUUACCUG
RNAcentral lists this ribosomal RNA (385 nucleotides) under Klebsiella pneumoniae. Its description in RNAcentral is "bacterial SSU rRNA". It matches the Rfam family "Bacterial small subunit ribosomal RNA", at positions 593 to 977 of the family's 1533-position model. Lineage: Bacteria; Pseudomonadati; Pseudomonadota; Gammaproteobacteria; Enterobacterales; Enterobacteriaceae. The record is from RNAcentral. RNAcentral also lists the same sequence under 1 other name.